RNAcentral lists this transfer RNA (56 nucleotides) under unidentified. RNAcentral's name for it is "Spelaeomysis bottazzii tRNA-Ser". The record is from RNAcentral.
AGUUAGAUAGUUUAAUAUAAAACAUUUAUUUUGAAAAUAAAAGAUUAAUCUAACUU